GGCAAGGUGGCCGAGUGGUUAAGGCGCGGCACUCGAAAUGCCGUUCAUUCGUGAGCGUAGGUUCAAAUCCUGCCCUUGUCG
Molecule: transfer RNA, 81 nt
Filed under: Ascosphaera apis ARSEF 7405
Lineage: Eukaryota; Fungi; Ascomycota; Eurotiomycetes; Onygenales; Ascosphaeraceae
Description: tRNA-Ser (CGA) (tRNA-Ser-CGA-1-1, tRNA-Ser-CGA-1-2)
Rfam family: tRNA
About the family: Transfer RNA (tRNA) molecules are approximately 80 nucleotides in length. Their secondary structure includes four short double-helical elements and three loops (D, anti-codon, and T loops).
Source: RNAcentral